Molecule: non-coding RNA, 506 nt
Organism: Phyllostomus hastatus (greater spear-nosed bat)
Lineage: Eukaryota; Metazoa; Chordata; Mammalia; Chiroptera; Phyllostomidae
Source: the annotation of a RefSeq genome assembly
CUGCGGGGCCUUGAGAAGCACAGCAGUGAGGCAUCUACACCAUGGCCUGGGCUCCUCUCCUGCUCACACUUCUGGCUCACUGCACAGGGGCCACAUCCCAGGCUGUGGUGACUCAGGAAAUUUUACUGUCCACAACUCCUGGGGGAACGGUCACACUCACCUGUGGCUCCAGUACUGGGGCUGUCACCACGAGUAACUAUGCCUGCUGGGUCCAACAGAAGUCCUACCAGGCACUCCAGGGUCUAAUAGGUGGUACCAGCAGUCGGGUGCCAGGAGUUCCUGCCAGGUUCUCCGGCAGCCUGCUUGGAGACAAAGCCGCCCUCACCAUCACCGGGGUCCAGCCCGAGGACGAGGCCGAGUACUACUGUGUUCUGUGGUACAGCAACCAUUGCCACAGUGACACCUGCAGGGGGGAAGCUGCAAAUUCAGUGUGGCCUGAGCUGGAGGUAGACCCGCAUGCAAAGGACAGGCAGCUGUGCAAGGGCUGCCCGGGACCCUGGGGCUGA